This 460-nucleotide ribosomal RNA is filed under the name uncultured bacterium. Its description in RNAcentral is "partial 16S ribosomal RNA". It matches the Rfam family "Bacterial small subunit ribosomal RNA", at positions 338 to 795 of the family's 1533-position model. The record is from RNAcentral.
CCUACGGGAGGCAGCAGUGAGGAAUAUUGGUCAAUGGGCUGACGCCUGAACCAGCCAAGUCGCGUGAGGGAAGACUGCCCUAUGGGUUGUAAACCUCUUUUGUCAGGGAGCAACGCCGGCUACGUGUAGCCGGACUGAGAGUACCUGCAGAAAAAGCAUCGGCUAACUCCGUGCCAGCAGCCGCGGUACUACGGAGGAUGCGAGCGUUAUCCGGAUUGAUUGGGUUGAAAGGGUGCGUAGGCGGAAUGCCAAGUCAGCGGUAAAAUCGCGGGGCUCAACCUCGCUCCGACGUUGAAAAUGGCGUUCUCGAGUGGGCGAGAAGUAUGCGGAAUGCGUGGUGUAGCGGUGAAAUGCAUAGAUAUCACGCAGAACUCCGAUUGCGAAGGCAGCAUACCGGCGCCCAACUGACGCUGAAGCACGAAAGCGUGGGUAUCGAACAGGAUUAGAUACCCUUGUAGUC